GAUGAACGCUGGCGCCGUGCCUAAUACAUGCAAGUCGAGCGAACGGACGAGAAGCUUGCUUCUCUGAUGUUAGCGGCGGACGGGUGAGUAACACGUGGAUAACCUACCUAUAAGACUGGGAUAACUUCGGGAAACCGGAGCUAAUACCGGAUAAUAUUUUGAACCGCAUGGUUCAAAAGUGAAAGACGGUCUUGCUGUCACUUAUAGAUGGAUCCGCGCUGCAUUAGCUAGUUGGUAAGGUAACGGCUUACCAAGGCAACGAUGCAUAGCCGACCUGAGAGGGUGAUCGGCCACACUGGAACUGAGACACGGUCCAGACUCCUACGGGAGGCAGCAGUAGGGAAUCUUCCGCAAUGGGCGAAAGCCUGACGGAGCAACGCCGCGUGAGUGAUGAAGGUCUUCGGAUCGUAAAACUCUGUUAUUAGGGAAGAACAUAUGUGUAAGUAACUGUGCACAUCUUGACGGUACCUAAUCAGAAAGCCACGGCUAACUACGUG
Molecule: ribosomal RNA, 497 nt
Filed under: uncultured bacterium
Lineage: Bacteria
Description: partial 16S ribosomal RNA
Rfam family: Bacterial small subunit ribosomal RNA
Source: RNAcentral